Molecule: small nuclear RNA, 82 nt
Organism: Cricetulus griseus (Chinese hamster)
Lineage: Eukaryota; Metazoa; Chordata; Mammalia; Rodentia; Cricetidae
Gene: U2
Rfam family: U2 spliceosomal RNA
About the family: U2 is a small nuclear RNA (snRNA) component of the spliceosome (involved in pre-mRNA splicing). Complementary binding between U2 snRNA (in an area lying towards the 5' end but 3' to hairpin I) and the branchpoint sequence (BPS) of the intron results the bulging out of an unpaired adenosine, on the BPS, which initiates a nucleophilic attack at the intronic 5' splice site, thus starting the first of two transesterification reactions that mediate splicing.
Source: Ensembl
GACGCUUCUUGGCCUUUUGGCUAAGAUCAAGUGUAGUGUCUGUUCUUAGCAGUUUAAUAUCUGAUAUGCCCUCCAUCCUCUU